Solanum pennellii is the source of this 140-nucleotide long non-coding RNA. RefSeq lists it as uncharacterized. The record is from RefSeq and is a predicted model, not a curated record. NCBI's taxonomy places the organism in Eukaryota, Viridiplantae, Streptophyta, Magnoliopsida, Solanales, Solanaceae. The transcript is spliced from 2 exons.
AUUAUCUGUAACACAAAUCGAAUUACUCCAAAGACAAAUCUAAUACAGGAGUUAAAAGACAAAAGACAUCAUUGCAAAUGCUAGAGGAAGGUUCAAGUCAUUAUCAACCGGUUUCUUUCCUGUCAAAAGCUCAAGGAGAA